Molecule: ribosomal RNA, 424 nt
Filed under: uncultured rumen bacterium
Lineage: Bacteria
Description: bacterial SSU rRNA
Rfam family: Bacterial small subunit ribosomal RNA
Source: RNAcentral
GUGGGGAAUAUUGGUCAAUGGGGGGAACCCUGAACCAGCCAAGUAGCGUGAGGGACGACGGCCCUACGGGUUGUAAACCUCUUUUGUGCGGGGGUAACGAGCGCCACGUGUGGCGCGUUGAAAGUACCGCACGAAUAAGCAUCGGCUAACUCCGUGCCAGCAGCCGCGGUAAUACGGAGGAUGCGAGCGUUAUCCGGAUUUAUUGGGUUUAAAGGGAGCGUAGGCGGGAGCUUAAGUCAGCGGUUAAAUGGUGCGGCUCAACCGUGCCCUGCCGUUGAAACUGGGUUUCUUGAGAGUGCAAGAGGCGGAUGGAAUUCAUGGUGUAGCGGUGAAAUGCUUAGAUAUCAUGAAGAACUCCGAUUGCGAAGGCAGUCCGCUGGGGCACGUCUGACGCUGAUGCUCGAAGGUGCGGGAAUCAAACAGG